Molecule: long non-coding RNA, 9108 nt
Filed under: Sarcophilus harrisii (Tasmanian devil)
Lineage: Eukaryota; Metazoa; Chordata; Mammalia; Dasyuromorphia; Dasyuridae
Description: lncRNA (ENSSHAG00000024768.1)
Source: RNAcentral
CUCUCCCUUUAAAUAAAUAAUUAAAUACUCUCUAAUCUCUAUCCUGCCUCAGUUUCUCUGGCAUUACAUUUUGGAGUCCCCAGUGAGAUGUUAGAAAAUGAAAGUAAGAUUAGAGAUAAGAGACCUUCAGGUCUCCACCUUGGGCCUCAGGACAGGUGGGGAUCUGGAGAGGACGGCCCUCUGGAUUUUUUCCCAGAGCCUCCAAGAAAGAACAAUUUCCAGCCACAACUGUGCCUGACGUCUGACGGUGGACACUCCAAGGGAGAAUCUGGUCUGAAACCUCUGCAGAGUAAGUUUUUUGUCUCGUCUGAUUGCUAGCAAAUCUGGUCCUCAGAAAAAGUUGGGCUGAUGAGCCAUACAACUCUGGGAAAUGCCCAUAGGAUGUAAUGUGGCAUUAUCUGAAGUACCCUUUGGGUACAUGAGUACCUUUUGGUACUAUCUGGUUCUGAAGUAGCCUUUGGGUACCUGAGUACCUUUUGGUACUACCUGGUUUUAAUCUGGGCAUUCUCUGUGAAGGCAAAGAAAUAAACCAAACUGGGAGGGAAGACUCUCCAGCUGACAACUUCCCUCAAGGCUGUUCUUUUCAGAUAGCUAGCUCCUGGUCUCUGUGUUAAAUGUUUUGACUGUGCAGUCAUGUCCGUGUGUUCUAUGUGACUUGCUUGUCUGUGUCACUUGUUUGUGACUUGUUUGGUUCAGAGCUCUGCUAAAUUAAGAAAUUUGGGAAUUAGUUAAAAUUUGCUUGUAAUUUUAAACUUUUUAACCUGCUGUACUAAUUUGUGAGUAAAGUGAGAACAAAAAGGCAGAGUUUUUCCUUGAAGCAGGGUUUUAGAGCCUGCUAGAGUAAAGGGCAAUAAAACCUUAUCUGAUUGAAAUUCUGGCUGGAGAAACAUCUGAUUUGGAAUUUUAGGAUGGUUUUAAAAUUAUGGGAAAUAAUUUUCCUAUUGCCUUUGCAUGCCAGAUUUGUUCUGAGUAUUCUUUUGGGAAGUUUUAAAUUGUGGGAAAUAAUUUUACUGUUGCCUAGGCAGGCUAGAUUUAGUUAUCUUUGAAUGUAAGAUCUUAAGAACUUAUUGGAAUAAAGUUCUGUAAACUUACCUGAAAGAAGUCACGUGCCUCUAAUUAGGUAAAGAAAGGUCUGACUUUUCUAAAGGCUCAACUCUGGCCUAAGUUGGGGCUUAGGAAAAGUCCAUUGGGAAUAAUGGCCAUGUAAGGCCAGAGAGAAAUUAAUUAUUUGAAAUAUGAUAGGAUAAGCAGUUUUACAUUACUGGGAAUUUAAAAUGUAUUUGAUUGCAUUUUAACCUAAAAUAUAGGUUAUUAAAACAAAAUGCCAAUAGCUUACCUUGGGAGGUCAUGUUUGUAGCUCCCUACUUAGAUGAUAUGUUGCUUUCUAAAAGUAUUGGGUAAUUUGUAAACUAUGCUCUGUUGGGCAUAUGUAUUAAGUUUUAUGAAAUUUGGUUUUUUAAGUUAAAAAAAAGCGAUUUAAAGACAAGGGACAAGAAAGAUUGAUUUGCAAAAGCAAUUAAUAGUUUAAAUGGAACAUCUAGUAUUAGUUUGGGAGUGUUUAAAGCAUGUUGGAGAAGGUUUGAGCAAGUAAGCAUUGGGAGGAGAGAGAGAGCGAUGGGACAGGAAGAGAUGAUGGGAGAGAAGGAAGAAAAGAAAGGAAAAUAGCUUUCCAGAAAUGGGCACAAAUCCCUAGUGAAUUUGCCAUUUGCCAUGGGAAAGGAGAUACCCCAUGAGAUUUGGGCCUGUCUUUAGCUGGCAGAUUGGAUCCUGGGGGAAAUGGCACCCUAAAAAGGUUAGUUGUAAGAAGUUGGGGUCGAGAAGCAUGGUGGAAUGGGGGAAGGAUGACCACAUGGAAGAGGGACAAUCUAAUCCCCCUUCCCCGAUUAAGAUGGUGGUUUUUAAAAAAUUAUUAUUAUAGCUGUUUAUUUACAAGACAUAUGCAUAAGUAAUUUUUCAGCAUUUACAGUUGCAAAUCCUUUUGUUCCAACUUUUUCCCUCUUUCUCCCCCACCCCUUCCCCCAGAUGGCAGGUUGACCAAAACAUGUUAAAUACAUUAAAGUAUAAGUUAAAUACAAUAUAUGUAUACAUGUUCAAACAGUUAUUUUGCUGUAUAAAAAGAGUUGGACUUUGAAAUAGUGUACAAUUAGCCUGUGAAGGAAAUAAAAAAUGCAGCUGGACAAAAAUAGAGAGAUUGGGAAUUCUAUGUAGUGGUUCAUAGUCAUCUCCCAGAGUUCUUUCCCUGGGUGUUCAAUUCAUUACUGCUUUAUUGGAACUGAUUUGGCUCAUCUCAUUGUUGAAGAGGGCCAGGUCCAUCAGAUCUGGUCAUCAUAUAGUAUUGUUGUUGAAGUAUAUAAUGAUCUCCUGGCCCUGCUCGUUUCACUCAGCAUCAAUUCAUGUAAGUCUCUCCAAGCCCUUCUGAAAUCAUCCUUAUGGCCAUUUCUUAACAGAACAAUAAUAUUCCAUAACAUUCAUAUACCACAAUUUAUUCAGCCAUUCUCCAAUUGAUGGGCAUCCACUCAGUUUCCAAUUUCUGUCCACUUCAAAGAGGGCUGCCACAAACAUUCUUGUACAUACAGCCCCUUUCCCUUCUUUAAAAUCUCUUUGGGAUAUAAGCCCAGUAGUAACACUGCUGGGUCAAAGGGUAUGCACAGUUUGAUAGUUUUUUGAGCAUAGUUCCAAAUUGCUCUCCAGAAUGGUUGUUGUAUUAGUGUCCCUGUUUUCCCACAUCCCCUCCAACAUUCUGCAUUUUCUUUCCCUGUCAUUCUAGCCAAUCUGACAGAUGUGUAGUGAGAUCUCAGAGUUGUCUUAAUUUGCAUUUCUCUGAUUAAUAAUGACUUGGAGCAUCUUUUCAUAUGACCAGAAAUAGUUUCAGUUUCUUCGUCUGAGAAUUGUCUGUUCAUAUCCUUUGACCAUUUAUCAAAUGGAAAAUGGCUUGAUUUCUUAUAAAUUAGAGUAAAUUCUCUAUAUAUUUUGGAAAUGAGGCCUUUAUCAGAACCUUUGACUGUAAAAAUGUUUUCCCAAUUUAUUGAUCCCCUUCUAAUCUUGUCUGCAUUAGUUUUGUUUGUACAAAAACUUUUCAAUUUGAUAUAAUCAAAAUUUUCUAUUUUGUGAUCAAUAAUGAUCUUUAGUUCUUCUUUGGUCAUAAAUUCCUUCUUCUUCCCCAGGUCUGAGAGGUAAACUAUCCUAUGCUCUUCCAAUUUAUUUAUAAUCUCAUUCUUUAUGCCUAGGUCAUGAAUCCAUUUUGACCUUAUCUUGGUGUAUGGUGUUAAGUGUGGGUCAAUGCCUAGUUUCUGCCAUACUGAUUUCCAAUUUUCCCAGAAAUUUUUGUCAAACAGUGAGUUCUUAUCCCAAAAGCUGGGGUCUUUGGAUUUGUCAAACACUAGAUUGUUGAAGUUAUUGACUAUUUUGUCCUGUGAAGCUAACCUAUUCCACUGAUCAAUUAAUCUAUUUCUUAGCCAAUACCAAAUGGUUUUGGUAACCACUGCUUUAUAAUAUAAUUUUAGAUCUGGUACAACUAGGCCACCUUCAUUUGAUUUUUUUUUUUUCAUUAAUUCCCUUGAAAUUCUUGAUCUUUUGUUUUUCUAUAUGAACUUUGUUGUUAUUUUUUCUAGGUCAUUAAAAUAGUUUUUUGGGAGUCUGAUUGGUAUAGUGCUAAAUAAAUAGAUUAGUUUAGGUAGUAUUGUCAUCUUUAUUAUAUUUGCUCACCCAAUCCAAGAGCAUUUAAUAUUUUUCCAAUUGGUUAAAUUUUUUUUUAAACAAACUGCAGCUCUUUGCUGGUUCAAAUAUUAAUUGCUUCUACUGUUUAAUUGAUAUUUUAAAGAAUCUUUCAGAUUCUUUUAUAUGGAAUUGGGUAUUCUGUAUAAGUUUAAUUGAUUGUAUCCUGAGGUUAUGCCCAUCAUUUAAAAGGCUUCUGAAAAUAAUAGUUUUUUCCUUGUCUUUUUGAAAAUGUUUCUGAUAAAUAUGAAAGAUAACUUGUGAACUUACUGAAACAAAUUUAUUACUGUUAUCAAUAUGAGGUUAUGACAUUUCUAAAAAUUUAAUAGUUUUAAGAACCUCUUGGAUUCUUUUAUGUGGUAUUAGGAUAUUCUGUAUAGGAUAUCCUAAAUUUUAAUUGAUUAUAUUGGGUUAUACUGAAGUCAUUUAAAGAGCCUCUGAAAAUAAUAUUUUUGUCUUUUUGAAAAUGUUUCUGUUAUGGACAAUAUGUAAUUUGGAAAUAUCUGUUUAGGAUUUGUCUGAAACUUAGUUAAUAUAAUUUGUUAUUAGAAGUAAAAUUCUUUGGGCUUAUAGUUAACACUAUUUGGGAGUUUCAAAGCUCCACAGUUGGUGGGACAAUUAACUGGAAUAAAAAUGAAUUAAAGCUAUUUUAUCCUCUUUUGCUGAAAGUUGAGUUUUAAUUGCUCAUAUUAUGGUUGUAUCCCUGCAUUUUUUCCUCCCGUAACUAAUUUCUAUGAUCAGAGCAAUGAUCAAUAAGAAACUGUUAAUGCAAUUCAAUUAUGUCAUACAUUGCUAUUUCCAAUCUGGUUAUAUGCUAUCAUUAUAUCCUGAAUAUUUGACAAAUGAGUAUUUACCCUGGUCAUCUAUCUGUUACUGAAUAUUUGUGUCUAUGGAUAUUCAGGUUUUUAAAGGUUUCUAAAUAAUGAGAGAGCAAAAGCCUAACUGCCGUUUUAUCUAUUGGGAAGCUGCUGGCCAAUUCAUACUGGCCUUUUCACAUUCUGUAUCAGUCUGUUCUAAUCUUUACUUGUUAGAUUUGUGUUUUUUGUUCUAGAUUUUGAUCAAAAUUACAGGUAUUGACUUGCUUCUGAGACAUGGAUCAGUCCAUCUAAAGCUUUGGUAGCAGGCAGCACGGCCACGCCCAUUCCCUCCCUGGACUGAGCAUCUGCUCAGCAGGAAGCAGUUUUUGAGAGAUGACUCAAAAUCAUUUGGACUGAUAUUGGGGAGUGGGAAAGUGGUUGAAUUAUUAUUAAAUUUUUAACUGUAUCACUGUAUUUAAGAUUUGUUAAAACUGUUUAAUUGUUGUAUGUUUGAGGGAUUUUUAGGAAAAUUACUGUACUAGUCUGUUAUAUAUAGGAAUUUCGAUUCACUCUUGGGAUUUAUAUGUGGAAUGGUCAAAUGAUAAUUUUUUUUUCAGUGAAAAAAAAAAGGGAGGAAGGAAACUGGUUGAAACUGGUCAGGAAAUUGGGAAAACUAUGUAUUUUUCUUCUGCCCUGCCACCUAUCUCAUUAGUUCAGAUUGAGUUGGAAAUUAUAUUUUAACUUUGAAAUCCCUUAUUUUGCUGGAAUUGCCCUGGCCGACUCAGUUUUGGGGAUUUUUUUUUUUUUUUAGAAACAACCAGAAAUCAGACACCUGUCUUGCGACUGGCAGUUUCUCUGAUCUGUUUCUCUACUCCUGUUACCAUAGUUCCUUAAUUAGUAUUGACAUCAGGACACUAAUAGUUCGGGGUUGCCUGCCUUGGUCUAACUGCAUAAUCUGCUCAGAAAUCUGUUUCCUAAGUAGCAGCGCCUGUUCUAUCAGAGGGGACGGGUGGAGCUACUCCAGGCCCCACUUUUUCUCCCUGGGAGUCCCUGACAGACUAAGAGGGGGGCUGCCCUCUUAGGAUGGCCAGCAGGACUAUCUUAGCACCUAUAUAAGCAGAGGCUGAGUUAAAUGCACAAAUGACCACAGUCCUAACUCACAGUGAACUGUCCAUCCCAAACUGGAUUCUCUGGCUCAACUGCAGAGGAUCUGCCAUUUCUGCAACAGGGAGGCCUGUGUGUCUCCCUAAAUGAGGAAUGCUGUUUUUAUGCUAAUAACCCUGGGGUUCUCAGGAAGAGACUUGUCUUUGCCAAAAGUCCUUGCAUUAUUCUAGUUUUAUUUUGGUUUAUUUGCUUUACAUAUGGUCAAAAUUAUGGUGCUAAGAUCUUCUAGAGGAAGGUAAAUAUUCAGAAGAGAGUAUGGAAUGUUAUGCUUUUAUUAUUCUGACUCAAGUUUCCCUAAUUAUCCUGGCCCAGUCCUGACUCAGUUUCUCUAAGUGUUCUGCCUCAGUUUAUAAUUGUCCUGCAAAACCUCCCCUCCCUCUUUAUCAGAAUAUUUGAUAAGAAUAAAAGAUCUUAUGUUUUAGAAUGUCAGGAUGCUUCUCCUCAUCCCAAGCUAUCAGAAUGUCAGAUACCAUCUUAUCAAGAUGCCUCUCCCCAUGUCUGGGGUGUCUCCCCCCUAUUAUGUCAUCCCUCUCUGGUGGCUUUCCUCACCCUGUCAGAGUCCCGUUCCCACUCUCAGCACCCUGACUCUGCCCCUGCCUGUCUAUCCCCUGAGUCUGAGUCACAUGUAUAUAUGUCAUUGAGAACUCACAUUGUUUGCUGGAUUUUUGGAGAUGAUAGUUUCAUUCAGCCCUGGGACCAAACCAUGGAUCUAUUUGGUCCCAGUAAAUCUCUCCCUUUCAAAUAAAUUAUUAAAUACUCUCUAAUCUCUAUCUUGCCUCAGUUUCUCUGGCAUUACACAUAUAGUUCCUCUGUGUGUAUUGGCAGAUAGAUUCCCUAUUGUUUUAGAAUAUAUGUAUUUAUUCUGAAUGGAAUGUUUCUCUCUCCUACUGAGUUUUGUUGGUAAUACAUGGAAAUACUAAUUAUUUGUGUGGGGGGGGUUAUUUCAUAUUUUGCAACUUUGCUGAAGUUGUUUUGUUGAGCUUUUUAAAGUUAAUUUCCUACAAUUCUCUAAGUAAAUCAUCAUUUCAUCUGAAGAGAAUAAUAAUUUUGUUUCCUUCUUGCCUAUCCUUAUUUUUUCAAUCUCUUUUUCUUUUUUUCUUACUAUGGUUAGCAUUUCUAGUACAAAUAUAAGUGAUGCUCAUGGACAAUAUUGCUUCACCUCUGAUCUUUUUGGAAAGGCUUCUACCUUAACCCUCUUACAGAAAAUAAUUGCUCUUAGUUUUAAAAAUAUAUUACUUAUAAUUUUAAGGAAAGUUCCAUUUAUUAUUGUUCUUUCUAAUAUUUUUUUCCUUUUUAAAUAGGAAUGGAUAUUGUAUUUUGUCAAAAGCUUUUUCAGCAUUUAUUGAAAUAAUCAUGUGAUGUUUCAUUUUUUGUUGUUAUUACCAUCAGUUAGGCUUAUUGUUUUCCUAUAUUGAAUAAACCUGCUAUUCCUGCCAUAAAUCUAGCCUGGUCAUAGCUUAUUAUCUUUGUGAUGUAUUGUUAUAAUCUCUUUGCUAGUAUUUUAUUUCAUUUUUACAUUAAAAUUCAUUAGGAAAAUUAGAUGGUAGUUUUUGUUUCUUUUUAUGUAUUAACUUCCCCUGGUUUAGGUUGCAAAACCAUAAUUGCAUAUUAGAAAGAAUUUGGUUUUAAAGAUUUCUUCUUUAUCCCCCCCCCCCCCCCCAGCCAAUUUAUGUAGUAUUAAAAGUGUUUAACUGCUUAGUAGAGAUCACUUGAAAAUUCAUCAAGUCCUGAGCAUUUUUUCCCCUUAGGUAAUUAUUUUAUGGCUUGUUUAAUUUCUUUUUAUAAAACAAAGUUAUUCAAGUAUUGUAUUUCUUAUUCUGCAAAUCUGGGCAAUUUAUAUUUUUGCAAAUAUUCAUCCAUUUCAUUAAGAUAGCCAAUUUUAUUGGCAAAUCAUUGGGCAAAAUAUUUCUUAAUACUUGCUGUUAUCUUCAUUGAUUGUGAAUUCAUUUUUUUCAUUUUGGAUACUGAAAAUUAAGUUUUUCUUUAUUUUUAAAAAUCAAUUAAUCAAUGGUUUAUGUUUUAAAAUCCCUAAUUUUAUUUAUUAAUUCAAUAUUUUAACUUUUAAUUUUGCUAGUUUCUACUUCAACUUUCAUAUAUAUAUUUUUUGGUUUUUAGCUGAGUGAUUUCAGUUGGUUUCUUUUCUAAUUUAAAAAAAAAACUUUUCAUGCCUGAUUCAUUGAUUUUUUUCUUUCUCUCCACUGAUGUUUAGAGAUAUAAGUACUACUUUGGCUGCAUCCCAGAAGUUUGAUAUGUUAUCUCAUUGUUAUUAUCUUUAAUGAAAUGAUUAUUUCUAUAUUUUGUUUUUUUGGCCUACUCUUUAAAGAUUAAAUUACUUAGAUUCCAGUAUUUCUUGAUCAAUACAUAAAAGACUCGUUAUUGAAUAUAAUUUUUAUUGUAUUAUGGCCAGAAAAAGAUACAUUGAAUAGUUUUGUUUUUCUGUAUUUGUUUAUGAGAUUUUUAUAUUCUUAUACAUAGCCAAUUUUUGUAAAGGUGCCAUAUACAGCUGAGAAUAGGCAUACACCUUUCUAUUCAUAUUCAAUAUUCUCUAGAGGGCUAUCAUAUCUAACUUUUCUAAAAUUCUAUUUAUUUCCUUAACUUGUUUAUUUUUUAUUUUGGUAAGAUUUAUUUAGAUAUGAUGGUAUAAAUUGAGGUCCUCCAGUACUAUGACUUUAUUAUCUAUAUCCCCCUGCAACUCAUUUAACUCUUCCUUUAAAAAUUUAGAUGAUAUAACAUUUGGUACAUAUGUUUAGUAUUAAUAUUAAUAUAUUAUAUAUGGUACCUUUUAUUGAAAUGUAGUUCCCUGUUUAUUUCUUUUAAUUAGGUCUAUUUUUGCUUUUGCCUUGUCUGAGAUCAUGAUUGCUACCCCUGCUUUUCUGCUUCAUCUGAAGUAAAAUAGAUUCUGGUUCAGUGCCUUAUCAUGACUCUUUGUGUGUCUCAGUGCUUCAAAUGCAUUUCUUGUGAACAACUUAUGGUUGAAUUCUGAUUUCUAAUCGGUUUUCCUGUCCUUUUCUUUUUUAUGGGUGAGUUCAUGCCACUUACUUUGCCAGUUAUGCUAGAUAACUGUAUAUUUCCUUCCAUCUUAUUAUCUUAUACUUAUUCUCUUUGUCUCUCUCUGUCUCUGUCUCUGUCUCUUGUCUCUUUUUUUCUCUUUCUCUCUCACUCUCUCUUCUCUCCCUUGUUGUCUCCUUAAGAAUCAAUUUUGCUUCUGGCCACUAUCUCCCUUAUUUUACUCUCUUUUUUAAAAAUCACUUUCCCUUUUUUCUUCCAACUUCCUUGUUGGAUAAAAUGAAUUUCCAUAUAUUCUAUGCAUGUGUGCAUAUCUUUCUAGAACUUGAUGAGAAUGAAUCAGCUCCAGGUGUUUACCACACCAUUUCUUUGUAUAAACUCUUCCUUGCUUGCUCCAUUUAUGUGAGAUAAUUUUUCCUAUUCUUCC